CAGUAGCCGCGGUAAUACGUAGGUGGCAAGCGUUGUCCGGAAUUAUUGGGCGUAAAGCGCGCGCAGGCGGUUUCUUAAGUCUGAUGUGAAAGCCCCCGGCUUAACCGGGGAGGGUCAUUGGAAACUGGGAGACUUAGAGUGCAGAAGAGGAGAGUGGAAUUCCACGUGUAGCGGUGAAAUGCGUAGAUAUAUGGAGGAACACCAGUGGCGAAGGCGACUCUCUGGUCUGUAACUGACGCUGAGGCGCGAAAGCGUGGGGAGCAAACAGGAUUAGAUACCCCCGUAGUCCCUGUCUCUUAUA
RNAcentral lists this ribosomal RNA (301 nucleotides) under uncultured bacterium. RNAcentral's name for it is "partial 16S ribosomal RNA". It matches the Rfam family "Bacterial small subunit ribosomal RNA", at positions 509 to 808 of the family's 1533-position model. The record is from RNAcentral.